GAGGGUCAACAAAAAAGUUAUGGCAAUGUUCGAGAAAGCUGAAGAUGAAUACAAUGACUUUAUCCAAGAAAAACAUCAUUGAGAAUGAUAAGUCAAAAUUCAAGAAGGUGAUUGAAGAGCUUGAUGAAAAGAAGGAAACACUAAAAGUUACUUGGGUUAAAGUGAACAAAUGGCUGAAACUAUGGUCCAAAUUAUAGUAUCCGGCUUCCUUGGAUCCCUGGAUCAGACGAAUUCAGUGGAUCCCGGGGAUAGGCUGUGUUUAUGUAUUUGCUCGAAAUUAAUGGAGUAGACCCGGAUGUGCGUCGGAGCUAUCCGGAUGAGCGGGGGUCCCUAGAAGGUGGGAACCGCUGUUAUGACCAUGAUGAAGCUGUCCAUUUCCUAUGGAUAGCAUUGGAGGGGCCUGGCCAUUUGGAUAGGCCAUGUUUAUGUAUUUACUCGAAAUUGAUGGAGCAGACCCGGAUAUGCGUUAGAUC
Molecule: long non-coding RNA, 473 nt
Organism: Magnolia sinica
Lineage: Eukaryota; Viridiplantae; Streptophyta; Magnoliopsida; Magnoliales; Magnoliaceae
Exons: 3
Source: RefSeq, a predicted model, not a curated record